RNAcentral lists this ribosomal RNA (465 nucleotides) under uncultured bacterium. RNAcentral describes it as "SSU rRNA". It matches the Rfam family "Bacterial small subunit ribosomal RNA", at positions 26 to 523 of the family's 1533-position model. The record is from RNAcentral.
AGAAUCAACGCUGGCGGCGUGCCUAACACAUGCAAGUCGCACGAGAAAGUGGAGCAAUCCAUGAGUACAGUGGCGCACGGGUGAGUAACACGUGAAUGAUCUACCUCCGAGUGGGGAAUAACCUAGAGAAAUCUGGGCUAAUACCGCAUAACACUUACGAGUCAAAGCAGCAAUGCGCUUGGAGAGGAGUUCGCGGCCGAUUAGCUAGUUGGCGGGGUAAUGGCCCACCAAGGCGAUGAUCGGUAUCCGGCCUGAGAGGGCGCACGGACACACUGGAACUGAAACACGGUCCAGACUCCUACGGGAGGCAGCAGUGGGGAAUUUUGCGCAAUGGGGGAAACCCUGACGCAGCAACGCCGCGUGGAGGAUGAAAUCCCUUGGGAUGUAAACUCCUUUCGAUAGGGAAGAUAAUGACGGUACCUAUAGAAGAAGCCCCGGCUAACUUCGCGCCAGCAGCCGCGGUAA